GCGGAUGUACCCAAGUGGAUCAGGGCAGU
RNAcentral lists this transfer RNA (29 nucleotides) under Filipendula x purpurea. Its description in RNAcentral is "partial tRNA-His". The record is from RNAcentral. Lineage: Eukaryota; Viridiplantae; Streptophyta; Magnoliopsida; Rosales; Rosaceae.